CUCUGUUACUAAUGGGCAAAGUUCAUGAUAGAUAUAAUUGUAAGAAGCAAAAUCGUUCAGUAAAGUAAGAACUUCAAACACAUCACCAUCACCAAAAUACAAUUUUGUCAUGAAUCCAUUUGUGUCCUUUGUUUAAUAUGCACAUAGACCAAGGUGAGCGACACAGGCUCUUUAGAGCCUCUAGUUCUUUAAAGUGACAUCUUGAGGGUAAGACAACUCAGGCAAAAAAAGGUUUAAGUGAAAAGAGGACAUUGUGGAAAAUUGAUUUUGAAAAAAGAAAAUUUGGCCGUAGAACAGAUUAAGAUUUCUUUUUGAUUUUAUAUUUCUUUAAGAUUACUUAAAAUUUCCAAAUUGAGAUUAACAUAGAAAAAGUAUUUUCCCAAUCCUUGUUUUAGAAUAAUUACCGAAUAUUUUGAAUAUUUGUUUGUAAAAUGUAUUUCAAUAUUUGGGUUGUAAAGAGUAUGUUCCUAUUCAAAUUAAAUGCCUGGUAAAUUUAAUGUGGUUUGUUAAGUUUCUUUACUUAUCUCAAUAUUUUCGUGACUUAGUAUUUUUUCUUAUUUCUUUCAAAUGUCAUUUAUUUUAAAGAAAUACUUCUCUUUCUUUAAUAAAACACAAAAAUUCUUACUUGUGUUGUAAUCUUUUGCCCUUAUUCCAGCAAGACUUUUCAGUUUGAGAUAGAAAGGUUGACUAUUAACUAUUACAAUAACAGACAAAAGGAAGAAAUUGAAUGGAAACAUAGAACGAUAGAAGAACCAGUUACAAUUAAGGAUUAAUAAUUGAAUACUAUUACAAAGGAGUAAGACCCCCUUUUGGCCC
RNAcentral lists this long non-coding RNA (816 nucleotides) under Mytilus galloprovincialis (Mediterranean mussel). Lineage: Eukaryota; Metazoa; Mollusca; Bivalvia; Mytilida; Mytilidae. The record is from RNAcentral.